Monodelphis domestica (gray short-tailed opossum) is the source of this 1144-nucleotide RNA transcript. The record is from RefSeq and is a predicted model, not a curated record. NCBI's taxonomy places the organism in Eukaryota, Metazoa, Chordata, Mammalia, Didelphimorphia, Didelphidae.
AAUAGCGAGGACAUGGGGUGGUGCGGGUGGUGGGGUGACCGCGGAGGGGUUGUACGGGAUCCGGGCAGGGUCAAGCUCCGGGAACAACGCGAUGGUUCUGUGGAGUAGGGUCAGCUGGAUGGACCUGGGCCUAGGCCUUGGCCGCCUGGUUAGCGCUCGGGGGCUGCGGUGUUCCCGCCGGCAAAGCCGCGGAUCCCAGCAAGGUGAAAGCGCUGAAAGGCCACAAUCUUCAUCAGAGACAACAAAGAUACCCAAGAUUUACACCAAAACAGGAGACAAAGGCUUUUCCAGCACCUUCACUGGGGAAAGGAGACUUAAAAAUGACCAAGUGUUUGAGGCCCUGGGAACAACUGAUGAAUUAAGUUCCGCUAUCGGGUUUGCCAUAGAAGUCAUCACAGAAAAGGGCCAUACAUUCGUGGAUGAACUUGAGCAAGUCCAGUGCAGGCUGCAGGACGCCGGCGCAGCCAUCGCCACGCCACUGCCUUCGGCCAGGGAGGCCCACUUGAAGCGCACCGCGUUCAGUGAGGACGCCGUCCUGGACCUGGAGCGCCGCAUAGACGUCUACACGGGCCAGCUCCCCCCCCUCACGGCCUUCAUUCUGCCCUCGGGAGGCCAGAGCAGCGCCGUCCUCCACCUGUGCCGAGCCGUGUGCCGCCGAGCAGAGAGGAGCGUGGUCCCUUUAGUCCAGGCCGGGCAGACGGACGCCAGCGUGGCCAGAUUCUUGAACAGGUAAUCAGUCCGCAGGCAAGACCCGCACUCCCCGCUGGCUCCCAGGAUGCCGAGCUUCAUUCGCAAAUGGGGUCCUCAAGCCUGGCGCCCUCCGGAGCUCACGACUCAGUGACUAUCUCUUCACUUUGGCCCGAUAUGCAGCCAUGAAGGAGGGGAAGGAAGAAAAAAUAUACCGGAGACGAGACCCGGCCCCUAAGGCUGGCCCCUGAGGCAUGCUGGGAAAAUCCUGGAGGCUGGGGAAGGAGGGGAGCCCGUCCUGCAGAAAGGCCCGAUGCCCCCCUAAUGCCAGGCCCACUUCGGCCGCCCCCGAGUCUCACCCUCGGUCGGGAUCCUGAGGCACCGGGCAGGGUCUCUGCAAACAAAGCUGUUGAACCUUUGCAGGCCGGGUGGCUGACAAAUAAAAGCGAUGUCCGAG